GGGCCAGACUCCUACGGGAGGCAGCAGUGAGGAAUAUUGGUCAAUGGCCGAGAGGCUGAACCAGCCAAGUCGCGUGAGGGAAGACGGCCCUACGGGUUGUAAACCUCUUUUGUCGGGGAGCAAAAGACGCCACGCGUGGCGUUCCGAGAGUACCCGAAGAAAAAGCAUCGGCUAACUCCGUGCCAGCAGCCGCGGUAAUACGGAGGAUGCGAGCGUUAUCCGGAUUUAUUGGGUUUAAAGGGUGCGUAGGCGGGCUGUUAAGUCAGCGGUCAAAUGUCGGGGCUCAACCCCGGCCUGCCGUUGAAACUGGCGGCCUCGAGUGGGCGAGAAGUAUGCGGAAUGCGUGGUGUAGCGGUGAAAUGCAUAGAUAUCACGCAGAACUCCGAUUGCGAAGGCAGCAUACCGGCGCCCAACUGACGCUGAAGCACGAAAGCGUGGGUAUCGAACAGGAUUAGAUACCCGUGUA
Molecule: ribosomal RNA, 466 nt
Filed under: uncultured bacterium
Lineage: Bacteria
Description: bacterial SSU rRNA
Rfam family: Bacterial small subunit ribosomal RNA
Source: RNAcentral